GGACGGGUGACAUUAAGGGGGGGUGGGCGACCCCAGGGGGGGCUGGGUGACCCCCGGGGGUGACGUUUUUUUUGGGGGGGGGGCGCAGGCGCCUGUGCGAGCAGCAGUACGGGAACGCGCCGCGGGUGCGCAUCAACGGGCACGUGGCCGCCCGCUUCCCCUUCAUCCCCCUGCCCCUCGACUACAUCCUGCCCGAGCUGCUCAAGAACGCCAUGAGGAUCUCGGACCGGGGCGGGGGCAUCCCCCACGAGCUGCUGGACAAGGUGACCCAGUACCACUUCAGCACGGCCGAGGCCAGCGCCCAGGACCCCCGCCUGGGGGGCCCCUUCCGCAACCUCCUGGACCUCAGCCACGGCCCCCAGGCCUGCCCCAUGCACGGUUUUGGCUUCGGGUUGCCCACCUCCCGCGCCUACGCCGAGUACCUGGGGGGCUCGCUCUGCCUGCAGUCGCUGCAGGGGGUGGGCACCGACGUCUACCUGCGCCUCCGACACAUCGACGGCAAGGGGGAGAGCUUCCGAAUUUAGGGGGGGGGCCCAAAAUCUGCCUCGGGGACUCCAAAUUCUCCUUGGGGACUCCAAAAUCCUACUCGGCGGCCUCAAAAUCCUACUCGGGGACUCCAAAUUCCUCCUCGAGGAGCCCAGAUUCUCCUUGGUGGCCUCAAAAUCCUACUCGGGGACCUCAAAAUCCUCCUUGGGGACUCCAAAUUCAUCCUCAACGGCCUCAAAAUCCUCGGGGACUCCAAAUCAUCCUUGGAGACUCCAAAUUCCUCUUCAACGGCACCAAAAUUCUCCUCGGCGGCCUCAAAAUCCUCCUCGGGGACUCCCAAUUCCUCUUCAACGGCACCAAAAUCCUCCUUGGGGACUUCAAAAUCCUCCUCGGCGGCCUCAAAUCUUUCUGGGGGGCCCAAAUGCUCCUCGGGGACCUCAAAUUCUCCUUGGGGACUCCAAAAUCCUACUCGGUGGCCUCAAAAUCCAACUCGGGGACUGCAAAUCCUGCUCGGGGACACCAAAUCCUACUCAUCGGCCUCAAAUCCUCCUUGGGGACCCCAAAUGCUCCUUGGGGACUCCAAAUUCUACUCAACGGCCUCAAAAUCCUCCUCGGGGACUCCAAGUCCUCCUCGGUGGCCUCAAAUUCCUCCUCGGCCUUGCCUCGAUAGCGGUGUCACCUCCCUGGUGGCCUCCCUGGUGGCCUCCCUGGUGGCCUCACCUCCCCGGUGGCCUCCCCCCUUGGGCCUCCUAAAUGGUGUCACCUCCUUGGUGGCCUCCUCCUGAUGUCACCUCCCUGGUGGCCUCCCCAUCGAUGUCACCUCCUUGGUGGCCUCCCUGAUGGCCUCACCUCCUUGGUGGCCUCCCCAUCAAUGUCACCUUGUUGGUGGCCUCAACCCUUGGCCUCCUUGGUGGCCUCCUCAGCAAUGUCACCUUGUUGGUGGCCUUCCCAACAGUGUCACCUCCCUGGUGGCCUCCCUGAUGGCCUCCCCAUCAAUGUCACCUCCCCAGUGGCCUCAACCCUUGGUGGCCUCAACCCUUGGGCCUCCCCAUCAAUGUCACCUCCUUGGUGACCUCCCUGAUGGCCUCAACCCUUGGCCUCCUCACUGACGUCACCUCCCUGGUGGCCUUGGUGGCCUCCCCUUGGGCCUCCCCAUCAAUGUCACCUCCCUGGUGGCCUCCCCAUCAAUGUCACCUCCUUGGUGGCCUCAACCCUUGGCCUCCUCACUGAUGUCACCUCCCUGGUGGCCUCAACCCUUGGUGGCCUCCUGGUGGUGUCACCCCCCUGGUGACCUCCUUGGUGGCCUCCUCAUUAAUGUCACCUCCCUGGUGGCCUCAACCCUUGGGCCUCCACUGUGAUGUCACCUCCCUGGUGGCCUCCCCAUCAAUGUCACCUCCCUGGUGGCCUCAACCCUUGGUGGCCUCCACCGUGGUAUCACCUCCUUGGUGGCCUCCUGGUGGUGUCACCCCCUUGGUGGCCUCCCUGGUGGCCUCCCCAUCAAUGUCACCCCCUUGGUGGCCUCAACCCUUGGUGGCCUCCUCGG
Molecule: long non-coding RNA, 2029 nt
Filed under: Anas zonorhyncha (Eastern spot-billed duck)
Lineage: Eukaryota; Metazoa; Chordata; Aves; Anseriformes; Anatidae
Description: lncRNA (ENSAZOG00000007529.1)
Source: RNAcentral